This 88-nucleotide transfer RNA is filed under the name Actinomycetota bacterium. Its description in RNAcentral is "tRNA-Leu". It matches the Rfam family "tRNA". From Rfam's summary of the family: Transfer RNA (tRNA) molecules are approximately 80 nucleotides in length. Their secondary structure includes four short double-helical elements and three loops (D, anti-codon, and T loops). Lineage: Bacteria; Bacillati; Actinomycetota. The record is from RNAcentral.
GCCGGGGUGGCGAAACUGGGUAUACGCGGCUGACUUAAAAUCAGCUGUCCCCUACGGGGGCGUGCGGGUUCGAGUCCCGCCCCCGGCA